Molecule: long non-coding RNA, 209 nt
Filed under: Bos taurus (domestic cattle)
Lineage: Eukaryota; Metazoa; Chordata; Mammalia; Artiodactyla; Bovidae
Description: long non-coding RNA NONBTAT018772
Source: RNAcentral
GCUUUGGAGUCUAGGGUACCCUUCAUCCUUCCACACAAGCUCCCACAACAUGAUUAAUCAAAGAAUUUUCAGGUAAUAAGGGAGAAAAAUAUUUUGAGAUGUGUAUUUACUUAAUAUUUAACAUACAUUUACUUACAAAUGUGUCACUCCUUAUCUAGAAUUCCUAUUCUCACCGCUAUUUCUCUCUGUGGUACACUUAGCACAGAAAA